AUUGAACGCUGGCGGAAUGCUUUACACAUGCAAGUCGAACGGCAGCACGGACUUCGGUCUGGUGGCGGGUGGCGAACGGGUGAGUAAUGUAUCGGAACGUGCCCAGUCGUGGGGGAUAACGUAGUGAAAAUUACGCUAAUACCGCAUACGAUCUAUGGAUGAAAGCGGGGGAUCGCAAGGCCUCGCGCGAUUGGAGCGGCCGAUAUCAGAUUAGGUAUGUGGUGGGGUAAAGGCCCACCAAGCCAACGAUCUGUAGCUGGUCUGAGAGGACGACCAGCCACACUGGAACUGAGACACGGUCCAGACUCCUACGGGAGGCAGCAGUGGGGAAUUUUGGACAAUGGGCGAAAGCCUGAUCCAGCCAUUCCGCGUGCAGGAUGAAGGCCCUCGGGUUGUAAACUGCUUUUGUACAGAACGAAAAGGUUUCUACUAAUACUAGGAGCUCAUGACGGUACUGUAAGAAUAAGCACCGGCUAACUACGUGCCAGCCGCCGCAGUAA
This 500-nucleotide ribosomal RNA is filed under the name uncultured bacterium. RNAcentral describes it as "partial 16S ribosomal RNA". It matches the Rfam family "Bacterial small subunit ribosomal RNA", at positions 30 to 523 of the family's 1533-position model. The record is from RNAcentral.